Molecule: ribosomal RNA, 605 nt
Filed under: Plateros sp. UPOL A00502
Lineage: Eukaryota; Metazoa; Arthropoda; Insecta; Coleoptera; Lycidae
Description: partial 16S ribosomal RNA
Rfam family: Bacterial large subunit ribosomal RNA (bases 379-537)
Source: RNAcentral
CAUGUCCUUUUGAUUAUAAUUUAAGGUCUAAUCUGCUCAAUGAGUAUUAAAUUGCCGCAGUAUUUUGACUGUGCAAAGGUAGCAUAAUAAUUAGUUUCUUGAUUAGAAACUGGAAUGAAUGAUUGGACGAGAAAAUUUCUGUCUCUAAUUAAAGGGUUUUUGAAUUUUAUUUUUAAGUUAAAAAGCUUAAAUAAUUAUAAAAGACGAGAAGACCCUAUAGAGUUUUAUAUUUAAUUAAUAAUUUAAUAUUAGUAAAUUUUUUAUAAUUAAUUAUUUUAUUGGGGUGAUUUAUAGAUAUAAUUAAUUCUUUAAUAUUUUAAUUGAUGAUUAUUAAUUUUUUUAUCUAAAUUUUUUAAAUUUAAAAUUAAUUACCUUAGGGAUAACAGCGUAAUUUUUCUUUAAAGUUCAUAUUAAAAGAAAAUUUUGCGACCUCGAUGUUGGAUUAAAAUAAAUUUUUGGUGCAAUAACUUAAGAAUUAGGUCUGUUCGACCUUUAAUAUUUUACAUGAUCUGAGUUUAAACCGGUGUAAGCCAGGUUGGAUUCUAUCUUUAGAUUUUUAUUAUAUUUUAGUACGAAAGGACCAAAUAUGAAUUAAAUAUUAAUUA